RNAcentral lists this ribosomal RNA (2240 nucleotides) under Salmonella enterica. Its description in RNAcentral is "partial 23S ribosomal RNA". It matches the Rfam family "Bacterial large subunit ribosomal RNA", at positions 1 to 2164 of the family's 2925-position model. The record is from RNAcentral. RNAcentral also lists the same sequence under 1 other name. Lineage: Bacteria; Pseudomonadati; Pseudomonadota; Gammaproteobacteria; Enterobacterales; Enterobacteriaceae.
GGUUAAGCGACUAAGCGUACACGGUGGAUGCCCUGGCAGUCAGAGGCGAUGAAGGGCGUGCUAAUCUGCGAUAAGCGCCGGUAAGGUGAUAUGAACCGUUAUAACCGGCGAUACCCGAAUGGGGAAACCCAGUGUGAUUCGUCACACUAUCAUUAACUGAAUCCAUAGGUUAAUGAGGCGAACCGGGGGAACUGAAACAUCUAAGUACCCCGAGGAAAAGAAAUCAACCGAGAUUCCCCCAGUAGCGGCGAGCGAACGGGGAGGAGCCCAGAGCCUGAAUCAGCAUGUGUGUUAGUGGAAGCGUCUGGAAAGGCGCGCGAUACAGGGUGACAGCCCCGUACACAAAAGCGCAUAUGCUGUGAGCUCGAUGAGUAGGGCGGGACACGUGGUAUCCUGUCUGAAUAUGGGGGGACCAUCCUCCAAGGCUAAAUACUCCUGACUGACCGAUAGUGAACCAGUACCGUGAGGGAAAGGCGAAAAGAACCCCGGCGAGGGGAGUGAAAAAGAACCUGAAACCGUGUACGUACAAGCAGUGGGAGCCCCACCACUAAGCCAGUGGUGAACUCCACAUACGCAUCCUUUGCUGAGGAGACGGUUAACGGAGCGAAAGCGACGUUCAACCUCAAAAGAAGCAGAGGGGGCUUAGUGGUGGGGUGACUGCGUACCUUUUGUAUAAUGGGUCAGCGACUUAUAUUCUGUAGCAAGGUUAACUGUAUAGGGGAGCCGGAGGGAAACCGAGUCUUAACCGGGCGUUAAGUUGCAGGGUAUAGACCCGAAACCCGGUGAUCUAGCCAUGGGCAGGUUGAAGGUUGGGUAACACUAACUGGAGGACCGAACCGACUAAUGUUGAAAAAUUAGCGGAUGACCUGUGGCUGGGGGUGAAAGGCCAAUCAAACCGGGAGAUAGCUGGUUCUCCCCGAAAGCUAUUUAGGUAGCGCCUCGUGAAUUCAUCUCCGGGGGUAGAGCACUGUUUCGGCUAGGGGGCCAUCCCGGCUUACCAACCCGAUGCAAACUGCGAAUACCGGAGAAUGUUAUCACGGGAGACACACGGCGGGUGCUAAUGUCCGUCGUGAAGAGGGAAACAACCCAGACCGCCAGCUAAGGUCCCAAAGUCAUGGUUAAGUGGGAAACGAUGUGGGAAGGCCCAGACAGCCAGGAUGUUGGCUUAGAAGCAGCCAUCAUUUAAAGAAAGCGUAAUAGCUCACUGGUCGAGUCGGCCUGCGCGGAAGAUGUAACGGGGCUAAACCAUGCACCGAAGCUGCGGCAGCGACACCGUGUGUUGUUGGGUAGGGGAGCGUUCUGUAAGCCUGUGAAGGUGUGCUGUGAGGCAUGCUGGAGGUAUCAGAAGUGCGAAUGCUGACAUAAGUAACGAUAAAGCGGGUGAAAAGCCCGCUCGCCGGAAGACCAAGGGUUCCUGUCCAACGUUAAUCGGGGCAGGGUGAGUCGACCCCUAAGGCGAGGCCGAAAGGCGUAGUCGAUGGGAAACGGGUUAAUAUUCCCGUACUUGGUGUUACUGCGAAGGGGGGACGGAGAAGGCUAUGUUGGCCGGGCGACGGUUGUCCCGGUUUAAGCGUGUAGGUAUGUGUUCCAGGUAAAUCCGGUUCACUUUAACACUGAGGCGUGACGACGAGGCACUACGGUGCUGAAGCAACAAAUGCCCUGCUUCCAGGAAAAGCCUCUAAGCAUCAGGUAACAUCAAAUCGUACCCCAAACCGACACAGGUGGUCAGGUAGAGAAUACCAAGGCGCUUGAGAGAACUCGGGUGAAGGAACUAGGCAAAAUGGUGCCGUAACUUCGGGAGAAGGCACGCUGACACGUAGGUGAAGUGAUUUACUCACGGAGCUGAAGUCAGCCGAAGAUACCAGCUGGCUGCAACUGUUUAUUAAAAACACAGCACUGUGCAAACACGAAAGUGGACGUAUACGGUGUGACGCCUGCCCGGUGCCGGAAGGUUAAUUGAUGGGGUCAGCGCAAGCGAAGCUCCUGAUCGAAGCCCCGGUAAACGGCGGCCGUAACUAUAACGGUCCUAAGGUAGCGAAAUUCCUUGUCGGGUAAGUUCCGACCUGCACGAAUGGCGUAAUGAUGGCCAGGCUGUCUCCACCCGAGACUCAGUGAAAUUGAACUCGCUGUGAAGAUGCAGUGUACCCGCGGCAAGACGGAAAGACCCCGUGAACCUUUACUAUAGCUUGACACUGAACAUUGAGCCUUGAUGUGUAGGAUAGGUGGGAGGCUUUGAAGUG